AGUGAACGCUGGCGGUAGGCCUAACACAUGCAAGUCGAACGGCAGCACAGUAAGAGCUUGCUCUUACGGGUGGCGAGUGGCGGACGGGUGAGGAAUACAUCGGAAUCUACUUUUUCGUGGGGGAUAACGUAGGGAAACUUACGCUAAUACCGCAUACGACCUACGGGUGAAAGCAGGGGAUCUUCGGACCUUGCGCGAUUGAAUGGGCCGAUGUCGGAUUAGCUAGUUGGCGGGGUAAAGGCCCACCAAGGCGACGAUCCGUAGCUGGUCUGAGAGGAUGAUCAGCCACACUGGAACUGAGACACAGUCCAGACUCCUACGGGAGGCAGCAGUGGGGAAUAUUGGACAAUGGGCGCAAGCCUGAUCCAGCCAUACCGCGUGGGUGAAGAAGGCCUUCGGGUUGUAAAGCCCUUUUGUUGGGAAAGAAAAGCAGCAGGUUAAUACCCCGCUGUUCUGACGGUACCCAAAGAAUAAGCACCGGCUAACUUCGUG
This 492-nucleotide ribosomal RNA is filed under the name uncultured bacterium. RNAcentral describes it as "partial 16S ribosomal RNA". It matches the Rfam family "Bacterial small subunit ribosomal RNA", at positions 29 to 507 of the family's 1533-position model. The record is from RNAcentral.